UACAGCUUCAGCGUGCCCGCGAUGGCGUUCACGUCCAUCUCGCUCAUCAUCACCGACACAUCCUUGUUAUCUGGGAAGAGCACGGAAAUGCAGCAGCCUCCUUGAGGAUCCCGAUAAAUGAAGAAAAGGCACAGAGAAGGAUGUGACAUGCCCUGGCCAUGGAGCGCUCUGAGAUCUCAUCGUGGACACCGCCGCCCACACCUCCACCCCAUCCUGCGGAGGCCGACACUCACUGACGUCGAAAGCUGCCUUCAGUGCCUGGAUGUCCGUGGCCACUCUGGACACCCGAUAGAUGCCCACCUCCUCCGUGCCGCGGCGCUCCAUCUCCUCCACACACUGGCACAUGAUGUAGGGCACCUUGGACCUCUCUCUCCUGCAGGAGGAGGGAAUGUUCUCAGUGUCCUGACAGCCCUGCUUGGGCCACAGCACAGGAGACCUGCCCCCUAUCUGCACACCCGGAGGUGGGGUGAGGACGGUGACGAAGGUGUCCAGGUCUGGGGCUGCACACAGAGCCUUGUGCAUGCCUGUCCUCCCUCUUCAAGCUCGGUCCUCAUUGCAAGUACUUUCUCAGGACUUUUCUAAGAGGCUGAAGCAGCCAGACCCUCUGCAAGUCACACAUGAUCUUUGUGGGAUGGUCAGGAGGCCUAAGUCAAGUCAGCACAGCAAGGGCCUCGGAAAGAUUCCAGAUCUGGGGUUAGCAACCUGUGCUCCCAGCUGGGAGAUCAGGCCGGGUGUUGGUCCUGCCAUCCACGUGCUGUGUGAGAGGAGAAUCCCCUGACCCCUGCCCCGGGCCCAGGCCUAAAUAAACAUCCCAUGAAUAAAGGGUUGCCUCAGCACCAGUGCCCCA
This is a long non-coding RNA of Symphalangus syndactylus (siamang), 847 nucleotides long. RefSeq lists it as uncharacterized. The record is from RefSeq and is a predicted model, not a curated record. Lineage: Eukaryota; Metazoa; Chordata; Mammalia; Primates; Hylobatidae.